UUGGAGGGCAAGUCUGGUGCCAGCAGCCGCGGUAAUUCCAGCUCCAAUAGCGUAUAUUAAAGUUGUUGCAGUUAAAAAGCUCGUAGUUGAACUUCGGAAUCAAUGGWUUGGUCAUGCCGUUGGUAUGUACUGGUCAUAUUGGUUCUCACCUUCUAAGGAACCAUAAUGUCAUUCAUUUGAUGUUUUGGGGAAUUAGGACUGUUACCUUGAAAAAAUUAGAGUGUUUAAAGCAGGCUAACGCUUGAAUACAUUAGCAUGGAAUAAUGAAAUAGGACAUCGCAUUSUAUUUUGUUGGUUUCUAGGAUCGAUGUAAUGAUUAAUAGGGAUAGUUGGGGGCAUUAGUAUUCAAUUGUCAGAGGUGAAAUUCUUGGAUUUAUUGAAGACUAACUACUGCGAAAGCAUUUGCCAAGGAUGUUUUCAUUAAUCAAGAACGAAAGUUAGGGGAUYGAAGACGAUCAGAUACCGUCGUAGUCUUAACCAUAARCUAUGCCGACUAGGGAUCGGAUGAUGUUAAUUUUUUAAUGACUCAWRSGGCGCCUUACGGGAAAC
RNAcentral lists this ribosomal RNA (549 nucleotides) under uncultured Glomeromycotina. Its description in RNAcentral is "SSU rRNA". It matches the Rfam family "Eukaryotic small subunit ribosomal RNA", at positions 550 to 1109 of the family's 1831-position model. The record is from RNAcentral. Lineage: Eukaryota; Fungi; Glomeromycota.